AAGGAGAGCAACAAAUGCAUCAGCUAUCAGGACUAAGGAUUUAGGGUUUGAACUCAAGAAUCAGAAAACAAGAAUAGACAAUGGAAUCGUCAAGCUCCAAUCCACCAUCUUACUUUGGCUGGUCCAUUUUUACAACACUUUGCUGCUGUUUGCCACUGGGAGUUGUUGCCAUCUUCUUCUCAAAUCAGGUUAACACCGCAAGCGCGGCAGGAGACACCACUAAAGCAGCGGAAGCAUCACGGAAAGCCAAACUUUUCAACAUAAUUGGAGUUGUCACCGGGGCCAUUUUUAUCAUAAUUAUUAUUAUCGUAUAUGCAAUUCAGCUCAGUGCUAUCGCAGCCAUUCAUUCACGUACGUGAUUCCUCUGCAAUAAAUAAGAGGACAAUUGCUUCACAAAAUCAAUGGUUUGCCAUACAGUAAAUGUCAUUAUUUACCCAGACUGAGAAGAGACUGAUUGAAAAUACCAUGAAUGACAUACCUAGAAAAAGAAAUGUGAAGUUGUUCCACUGUUCAAACACAACACCCCCAUAAAACAUUGUCUGUAUCAUCUGUGCGCAGGCUAGGGCUACUUCAUCAUGUUUUAUUGUAACAAAAGACAUGUAUUAACACGGAGAAGGAUGUCUGGAGUUAAAACAGUUGUGCUUUACAAUUUCCUCCUGUGUGAAUUUCCAAAAAGAAAAAUAAACCUCUAGGACAACUCCAAA
This is a long non-coding RNA of Alosa sapidissima (American shad), 704 nucleotides long. RefSeq lists it as uncharacterized. Lineage: Eukaryota; Metazoa; Chordata; Actinopteri; Clupeiformes; Clupeidae. The record is from RefSeq and is a predicted model, not a curated record. The transcript has 3 exons.